This 648-nucleotide ribosomal RNA is filed under the name Triticum aestivum (bread wheat). Its description in RNAcentral is "partial small subunit ribosomal RNA". Lineage: Eukaryota; Viridiplantae; Streptophyta; Magnoliopsida; Poales; Poaceae. The record is from RNAcentral.
AUGGUGCAAUUGUCACAUGGGUCUGAUGUAUUCCGAUGGAACCUCCAUGGGAAUGGACAAUUCUCAGUGGAGUCUAUGUAUAGAGCAUUAAUCCAGUCUGAUGUGCUAGUUGUUAAUAACAUGAAGAUCUGGAAGAUGAAGAUACCUAUUAAGAAUAAAAUCUUUGCAUGGUAUAUUCGUCGCGGAGUCAUUCUUACUAAGGAUAACCUUAUUAAGAGGAAUUGGCAUGGAAGUCCACAAUGUGUUUUUUGUCACCACGAGGAGACAAUAAAACAUUUAUUCUUCCAAUGCAAAUUGGCUCGUUCUAUGUGGUCAGUCAUCCAAAUAGCUUCUGGCUUGUAUCCUCCCUGUAGUGUUGCUAAUGUAUUUGGCAACUGGUUACAUGAGAUUGAUCACAGGUUUAGAACUCUUCUUAGGGUGGGAGCGCUUGCCGUUAUUUGGUCGCUUUGGCUAUGUAGAAAUGAUAAGGUUUUUAACGAUAAAAGUACUUCUCUGUUGCAGGUUAUCUAUAGAUGUACCAAAACUCUUCGUUUAUGGUUCUCUCUACAAUGCAUGGAGAAUCGAGACUUGUUUAUGGAGGUGUGUGUACACGAUUGGAGGCUACGGCGAGGGAUACUUUUACCCAACAUGGGUGGCAACAUGAUCUAA